AUUCACAUAUGGGUGAAUAUGAUUCACAUAUGCGUGAAUACAUUUCACAUGUGAAUCAUAUUCACCCAUAUGUGAAUCAUAUUCACCCAUAUGUGAAU
This 98-nucleotide microRNA precursor is filed under the name Melampsora larici-populina 98AG31. RNAcentral describes it as "microRNA MIR807". Lineage: Eukaryota; Fungi; Basidiomycota; Pucciniomycetes; Pucciniales; Melampsoraceae. The record is from RNAcentral.